CUAUUUGUACCCCUUUCACUUCCAAAUGAAAAUUCACUGAAGGUUAUUGCACAUGAGUUUAGGUUUUCAUGUUCUCCAAACAUUAUGACACACCCCUAAUCGAUCAUGGUGUAUCUGUGUGUAUGCCCAGCAUGGAAAUGAGGAGUGGAUGAGAGAGGAACCAAGAGCAAGAUGGUAUUUUUUCCUUUUGAAAGCAAGUGCUUCAAAGAUUACAUAAACCUGAAGUUGCCUGAGAAUGAAGCCAAGAUGGAGAGAAACAGAGGUGUGCAGGGAACUUGGAGAACUGACACCCCCAGAGAAAGACGGAUGUGGUUCGUCACAGAGGUGUGGUCCAUGGAUGCUCCACAGUGAGUCACCAGGAUGUCCAGCAUGAUCUCCAGUUCCUACCAGGUCACAAUGUGAUGGGAACCUCGCCCUGCCACGUGGACCCUGAGACUGGAGCCCCCACCGAGGAAACCCCAGGUGAGUGGACACUUGUGCUGCACAU
Long non-coding RNA from Bos indicus x Bos taurus (hybrid cattle), 487 nucleotides. The record is from Ensembl. Lineage: Eukaryota; Metazoa; Chordata; Mammalia; Artiodactyla; Bovidae.